CAUCAAUCAAUCAAACGAGUCAGCGAAUAAAAAAAGAGCACAAACAAAAAACCACAUCACUUCAUUAACAGUUACUAGUACUGCUCUGUAGGCCACCCUGCCAGUAUGUAGUGAUAGCAGAGGAGGGGAAAGAUCAGCUCCUCACUGCUUUAGUACAUUUAGGGCAUCAUACGCCUUCAAAGAGGGGGCAAUUAUUUAUUAUCGCCACUAAGAGUUCUUCGGUGACAUGAAGCUGAACUUUCUAAUCACAAGCUUCAUCAUCAAAGGUUCCACCUUACAUGGUGCAGCAACCUCAGGUACCAGAACGUAACCGCUACACCAUAUAAGGUGGAAUGGGAAAUUUUGCCAGGUGGUGACCGAGACAUCAGCGUAUUACUAGUGAUUUUUACGGGCGUUAUGAAGGAAAAGACCAUAAAACACUAUUACAAUGGUUCUUACAACACAGCAGCUUUUAAACAGAGAAAUACCUACGUUUGUGUCUCUUUGGCCGCUUGUGCAGCCAUCUUGCCGAUGAUACGCAGAGCAUUCGGGGAGUUUUCUCAUAACACUCCGUUUGUAGUGUUGCCUCUGAAAAACCUCUGUUUGAAGGGCCAUGUAGCCCUAACCCUUCACCCUACCCCUCCAUCUCAACAACAAUCCGGACAACCCUACCUCUAGAUGUGAAUGCGCAAAACGGAGGGGUAGGGCUAAGUGUUAAGGGCAAGGGAUGAAAUGGGAUUGGGCCUAAAGAUCCUAUUUUUCAGGUGCAAGAACAGUAUACCUUUCAUUCGCCAUCUUUGCAUUUUGUUUAGGUGUAAGCACAUUUCUGCGAAUUUGCAGACAGUUGGAGAUCACAUGAUCGAGCAAGGAAAGUCGGACUCUAUUUUGGUCCAACCUGAACCAACCUACAGAAUUCUACACAGGAUCACAUGAUGCCACAGCGGUCCUGUCAGAGAUCACAAUCCCCAGACUAUUGACGAUUUCUGCCUGACCCUUUUGUAUUCUCCCUUCUGGCCUGUGUUUGACUAUUUUUGCCUGGACUCCGGCUUCGAUUUGUGAUUUGCCCUUUCUGGAUAUAUCUGUCUUGUUGCCUAUUAAAACCUCCUGUCUUCUUAUCUGCAAGCGUCUGGUACUCUGUCGCCUCGUCACAGAUUGAUGCAACAGGAGGCAAUUAAAAUACAAUAAAAGUUUUUUCAAACCCA
Molecule: long non-coding RNA, 1181 nt
Organism: Pygocentrus nattereri (red-bellied piranha)
Lineage: Eukaryota; Metazoa; Chordata; Actinopteri; Characiformes; Serrasalmidae
Exons: 2
Source: RefSeq, a predicted model, not a curated record